AUGCUUGCUUCAGCAGCACAUAUACUAAAAUUGGAAUGAUGUAGGGAAGAUUAGCACGGCCCC
Small nuclear RNA from Phascolarctos cinereus (koala), 63 nucleotides. NCBI's taxonomy places the organism in Eukaryota, Metazoa, Chordata, Mammalia, Diprotodontia, Phascolarctidae. The record is from Ensembl.